Long non-coding RNA from Cercocebus atys (sooty mangabey), 798 nucleotides. RefSeq lists it as uncharacterized. The transcript is spliced from 5 exons. The record is from RefSeq and is a predicted model, not a curated record. NCBI's taxonomy places the organism in Eukaryota, Metazoa, Chordata, Mammalia, Primates, Cercopithecidae.
CCCUGACGAAGCAGGAGACACAACCAGCAGACUCUGCCACAGUCUUCGCGUAUAUAUCCCAUGUGAUGCCUUUAUCCUCAGUCCUUGGAAAGGAGGUGGAUGAAGAGCACUCUCAGGACCUUGAGUAAGGUAGAGCUGGGAGCUGAAGGAGCCUGGUUCCUCAGUCACUGCAUGGAUCAGAGAACCUCCUCCCUACCUGUGCUGAAUUAAUCAGCCAGGUGUCCUGGAGGGCCUGAGAGGGACCAGGGUGAUGAUGGGAUCCGGAGAAGAAAGUCAGAUUGGAGCAUAUGAAGCAGUGCAUAAGCAUUUAUGAUGGGUGAAGCUGAUGUGUUGCAACGAAUAUCUCAUGCAGGCACUUUGGAUCCAACUCAACUCAUCACACAUUUAUGGUGCCAGAUGCCAAUUUGGAGAAGAAAGGGUCUUGUUCUCAUGAAGCUCACAGAGAAACAGACUCGCCCCAUGGAGGGGACAAAUUGGAUUCAUGACCAGACCUCUGAGGGGCUGCGUCUCCAGGCAGCUGGUGGGAAGCUGUCUGGAAACAAAUACAUUUUCCAGCUCGCUCGACCCUCACAUUUCCACAGCAGAAGGUGUGUGAUGUGGACUAACUGAAACUUGCCACCAGCUUGUCUCAUCUCUCAUGAAACUGCUGGAAGAAACACAGUGGAUAAUGACUCAUUCCUGUGCUCUGUCCAGAUAAUAACUCUCACUUCUUAAUAACUUCCCUCUGGCCAUCGAGAUCUCAAAUGCAAUAAAAUGUUGUAAGCUGGCAGAUGAUAUUUUCAUUAGAUGUGAAGCAAU